ACCACUAAGUCGACUUCUUCAGUGUCAGAAUUGAACACUCAUAAUUCCUUAGCUGAAACCACUAAGUCGACUUCUUCAGUGUCAGAAUUGAACACUCAUAAUUCCUUCGCUAAAACCACUAAAGUCGACUUCUUCAGUGUCAGAAUUGAACACUCAUAAUUCCUUAGCUGAAACCACUAAGUCGACUUCUUCAGUGUCAGAAUUGAACACAUAAUUCCUUCGUCACACAGUUUCGGCAGUCUCUGUGUCAAUUUCUUGAGGCAAGUUAGCCCUUUAGCUUGAUCAUACUAUAAACCUUGCAACCUUUGCGCCACUUGUUCGAUGAUGAUAGUCAUCUGAGUUUUGACAUUUGGCCAGUCCCGAAGCUGUAGUAAUUCUACACUUGAUCAAACUUAAGAUUUAUCAGAUGAAAUGAUAUUGGCGGGCGGAACGGCGGUCGAGUGGUUAGCGCGCAGACCUCACAGCUAGGAGACCAGUGUUCAAUUCCACCCUCGGCCAUCUCUGUGUGGAGUUUGCAUGUUCUCCCCGUGCAUGCGUGGGUUUCCUCCCACAUUCCAAAAACAUGCUAGGUUAAUUGGCGACUCCAAAUUGUCCAUAGGUAUGAAUGUGAGUGUGAAUGGUUGUUUGUCUAUAUGUGCCCUGUGAUUGGCUGGCCACCAGUCCAGGAUGACAGCUGGGAUAGGCUCCAGCAACCCUCGUGAGGAAAAAGCGGUAGAAAAUGAAUGAAUGAAUGAUAUUGGUGUCCACUCAUUCAAUUCGCUACUUCCUGAAACUAAGCAUCAUGGGAAGUGUAGUUCUUUUAGCCAUAAAUUAGCAACAUGACAGUAAAAGCUGCACUGGAAAUAUGAGCGGAAUUAGACAAAAUAAUUUAUCUCAUGAAAAGACAAAAUAAAUACCUGAGCGGUGUAAAGUGUAAAGUACGGACCACAUCAGGCUGACUUUUAGAAACAAAUUUUAAUUUUAUCCAUUGAGAGAACAAGGUGAGAGAACAUGCUGAGGAGCGAUGGCUGUCUUGCAGCGUCCUCAUGGAGAUGAAAGUGUUUCAAAGUGGCGUACAGUCCUCUCUGUAUGUGUCAACAAACACGUCCUUCUCUUUUUUUUGUUGUUGUCGCUUUUCCCUUUUUUUUUCUCACACAGUCUUUUCAUCCGUCGCCUCAGCGGUUGUUGACGCCGCGUCCACCGGGGGUGUUUUGUCCACUCCCUGGCUGCAGCUCUCGUCACAUGACUGGACUUUAACUGCGGCGGCGUUGUGGGGAACGGUUUCGUCUAUGCUCUCGUACGGCUCGGAUGUCCACUGAUAAACAGAAAUGGAAAAAGGGUUACUUCAGCAACGGACAAUGCUAGCUUAUGAGUCUAUCUUAGCUUAGCAUGCUGCCUGUCUACUGAUGUAGUUUAGCUUGCUAGCCUCCACAAGAGAAAAGGGAGUAACGUGAAGAAUAGUGACAACCAUGUAUUUGAUUUAAUAUUCUAUAAAAAAAAAAAAUAAGUGUUAGCGGUGGUCAUACAACUGAAUACUCUGUCAAGGAAAUGCUAAUUUUGAGCUAACCUCCACUGAGCUUAGCUUAGCUUGCGGUGCCACAAGAAAAACACGCUAUUUGCCAACGAACGUACCUGAGUGGCCCUGCUGCCCGACCGGUGCGAGGGUCCCAAGGCGAUGUUGACGCUGGACGAGGACUGCGUGUCGGUGGUGUUGCCCCCUUCGGCGGCCGACAGCCCCGAGAUGACCAAACCGCUGGAGAAGCUCCGCUUGCCAAACAGCAGACUGAGUGUGGACGAGGAUGAGGACACCUGAGGACGCAUGCAGAAGGAACCAUAGGUGGGCGUUGUACCUGAACUGUGGUGUCGGUGGCUGCGGGUAGUCCGGGCUCUCUGCUGGUACACACUCAAACUGUUGGAGGUGACAGAUGACGGCCGGUUGUGGCUCAGAGACGAUGAACCGCCUGCGCCGCAGUCGGCGUCCUCCAUGUUGACGCCACUGUUGCAGCUGUUCAGGUUGUCCUUGCGCACCCUGUUACGUCAUGAUGGCAGCAUAUGUGACACAUAUUAAUGCAGUCUUCGGAAUUUGGCUGAAAGGUAUUUCCUCUUAAGGAGGAUGAAACGGGUAUUUAAUCUCGUUAUGGAACCCACACAAGCUGACCCACAGUGGUUAACUAAUGCAAGGUAGAUUGCAUUAGCUAAAAGUAAAGGAAAGGCUGACACGUGGAAGGAACUUUAAGCACACACACAAAACCCGUCUAGGUUGCACGGCG
Molecule: non-coding RNA, 2249 nt
Organism: Doryrhamphus excisus (bluestripe pipefish)
Lineage: Eukaryota; Metazoa; Chordata; Actinopteri; Syngnathiformes; Syngnathidae
Source: RefSeq, a predicted model, not a curated record